Oncorhynchus mykiss (rainbow trout) is the source of this 1251-nucleotide non-coding RNA. The record is from RefSeq and is a predicted model, not a curated record. Lineage: Eukaryota; Metazoa; Chordata; Actinopteri; Salmoniformes; Salmonidae.
AUCUACUGUACAUGUCAGUACAGUCUUAGACUGGGAUUCAAUAUCUACUGUACAUGUUAGUACAGUCUUAGACUGGGAUUCAAUAUCUACUGUACAUGUCAGUACAGUCUUAGACUGGGAUUCAUUAUCUACAAUGCACCAUUUAAAAGUAACUCCUGAUUGAGCCGACAGAGACCCAUUUAAAGGUAACUCCUGAUUGAGCCGACAGAGACCCAUUUAAAGGUAACUCCUGAUUGAGCCGACAGAGACCCAUUUAAAGGUAACUCCUGAUUGAGCCGACAGAGACCCAUUUAAAGGUAACUCCUGAUUGAGCCGACAGAGACCCAUUUAAAGGUAACUCCUGAUUGAGCCGACAGAGACCCAUUUAAAGGUAACUCCUGAUUGAGCCGACAGAGACCCAUUUAAAGGUAACUCCUGAUUGAGCCGACAGAUACCCAUUUAAAGGUAACUCCUGAUUGAGCCGACAGAUACAGUGUUUACCGUGGAUUUAGUGGCCAUGAACGUGGGUACAUUGCCUUUAAAACAUGCAUUACAGACAAAGCGGGAUCGGAUUGCAUCCUGGCCCUAAUUGACAAUUCAAUAUUAUAUAAUGUCCACAACAAUAUCGAAGGAAUACCAGUCAAAAUAUUAUAUAACGUCCACAACAAUAUCGAAGGAAUACCAGUCAAAAUAUUAUAUAAUGUCCACAACAAUAUCGAAGGAAUACCAGUCAACAAUAUUAUAUAACGUCCACAACAAUAUCGAAGGAAUACCAGUCAACAUUAUUAUAUAACGUCCACAACAAUAUCGAAGGAAUACCAGUCAACAAUAUUAUAUAAUGUCCACAACAAUAUCGAAGGAAUACCAGUCAAAAUAUUAUAUAAUGUCCACAACAAUAUCGAAGGAAUACCAGUCAACAAUAUUAUAUAACGUCCACAACAAUAUCGAAGGAAUACCAGUCAACAUUAUUAUAUAACGUCCACAACAAUAUCGAAGGAAUACCAGUCAACAAUAUUAUAUCAUGUCCACAACAAUAUCGAAGGAAUACCAGUCAACAAUAUUAUAUAAUGUCCACAACAAUAUCGAAGGAAUACCAGUCAACAUUAUUAUAUAAUGUCCACAACAAUAUCGAAGGAAUACCAGUCAACAAUAUUAUAUAAUGUCCACAACAAUAUCGAAGGAAUACCAGUCAACAUUAUUAUAUAAUGUCCACAACAAUAUCGAAGGAAUACCAGUCAACAAUAUUAUGAAAUAGUUGUCAUUGUUAUUUUU